RNAcentral lists this ribosomal RNA (301 nucleotides) under uncultured bacterium. Its description in RNAcentral is "partial 16S ribosomal RNA". It matches the Rfam family "Bacterial small subunit ribosomal RNA", at positions 509 to 807 of the family's 1533-position model. The record is from RNAcentral.
CAGUAGCCGCGGUAAUACGGAGGGGGCUAGCGUUGUUCGGAAUUACUGGGCGUAAAGCGCACGUAGGCGGCUUGGUAAGUUAGAGGUGAAAGCCCGGAGCUCAACUCCGGAAUUGCCUUUAAGACUGCCGAGCUAGCAGGUGAGAGAGGUAAGUGGAAUUCCGAGUGUAGAGGUGAAAUUCGUAGAUAUUCGGAAGAACACCAGUGGCGAAGGCGGCUUACUGGCUCAUACUGGACGCUGAGGUGCGAAAGCGUGGGGAGCAAACAGGAUUAGAGACCCCCGUAGUCCCUGUCUCUUAUAC